UUCUGGCCUGCCCAAGGAAGGUCUUGUGAUUGCAUACCGGCUGCUUGAGUUAUCAUCAACCUGGACCCUGAAGUUUCCUCCUAUCGGGUUGGGAAAAUAUCGUCGUAUAAUGCUGAAGCAAAUAGAGUUUUACUGAUGCCAGUAGCUGAAUUUCCAGUCAUUUGUACUGAGGAUGAGUCUUCAAAGCAACCAGAUAGCUCUAUUUAUAAUGAAGACGGAUCGCCGGAGGUUGCCAAGGAGUACAGGCCCAGACACUCUGCAUUUGAUUGAUGGACAAGCGCAACGACUACAGUUGCUUGGAGUAGCUUGCAUGAUGACCGCAUCAUCGUGUUGAAAAUGGAGUCGAGGUGGGGAG
Molecule: long non-coding RNA, 355 nt
Organism: Solanum tuberosum (potato)
Lineage: Eukaryota; Viridiplantae; Streptophyta; Magnoliopsida; Solanales; Solanaceae
Exons: 5
Source: RefSeq, a predicted model, not a curated record